AUUGAACGCUGGCGGCAGGCCUAACACAUGCAAGUCGAGCGAGCGGCGGACGGGUGAGUAUUGUAUGGGGACUGCCCGAUAGAGGGGGAUAACUACUGGAAACGGUGGCUAAUACCGCAUACUAUCGGAUAACCCAUAUGGGAUUAGCUAGUAGGUGGGGUAACGGCUCACCUAGGCGACGCUCCCUAGCUGGUCUGAGAGGAUGAUCAGACACACUGGGAGUGAGACACGGCCCAGAGUCCAACGGAGGCAGCAGUGGGGAAUAUUGCACAAUGGGCGCAAGCCUGAUGCAGCAAUGCAGCGUGUAUGAAGAAGGCCUUCGGGUUGUAAAGUACUUUCAGUCGGGAGGCGUUACCGACAGAAGAAGCACCGGCUAACUCCGUGCCAGCAGCCGCGGUAAUAC
RNAcentral lists this ribosomal RNA (403 nucleotides) under uncultured bacterium. Its description in RNAcentral is "partial 16S ribosomal RNA". It matches the Rfam family "Bacterial small subunit ribosomal RNA", at positions 30 to 526 of the family's 1533-position model. The record is from RNAcentral.